AGGAUGAUGGGUCACGGUGUACCUGGUUCAAGCACGAACACGCCGCUGAUUCACGCUCUUGUUGAGACAAGGAGAGUGGCAGAGGCUCGUGGAGAUGGUGGAGGCCGGGUUGGUUCCUAGAGAGUAUACAUAUAAGUUGGUGUUGGAUGCUUUGACCUCAGAAGGAAUGAUGGUACAUAAGAGAAUGAGACAAGGAAUAGACCAGAGAUAUAGAAGCGCCAUGGAGAUCAAACCGGUCAUGUCCCGAAAAGAGGAUUUUCAUAAGAACCAUGAAAAAUGAUUUUUUCUUCUUUUCCUGCUCAAACCUUGUAUUGUGCUACUAUCUCUCCAGUCUUCUCAUCUGAACAAGGGCUCUCUCGUAAAAUCACUACGUGAAGCUGCUACUACACUGUCACAAAUCGAGCAGCCUUUAGUUACUGAAACUGUGAGCAAGAAACAAGCUCUGAAACUGCUUGAAGCUGAGCUGAAACCGCUGAAGAAAUCCAUUAUCAAGCAUGACCUUCUUAAGAAUCGUUGAUAACGACGUGAAUCUAUUAGUUACUGUUUGCGUCAGUGAGAGCUUUCGGAUUCUGGCACCUGAGCCACCUUUUGAAGACAAGUAUCUCAGGGAUAUCUUCAACCUCUUUCUUGCUGAGUUCUCUGAUACUGUAAGCCCCUACUUCUCGAGAAGGGCAAAGAUCUUGAAGACAGUUUCUCGAUAGCAAAUGUUGUAUGCUAAUGCUGGACGUGGACUGCCAUGACUUAACACGUUUUUCUCUGUUGUGAGGGAGCACUAUCAACAGAAUUUAGUUCAUCAGAAGAAUGCUAAAGUGCAGCAGCGAGAGGCUAACACGCAGCAAGCGCAACAAAGUUUAUUCAAUGACAUUCUAACCAUAAUGACUGAUACUCUGAAAGAAGAGGCGAGUUCGUCACUUGUCGGUGUUAUUCUUCAAAAUCUAGUGAAGGAGGGAAAGGUAUGGAUGUACAGAGAUUAAUUAUCUAUCGAUUAUGAUUUGCACAAUUCUGAAGAUCAAAUACUGGUAUUUAUUAUGCAUUUGCGCUUUAAUAAACGUGUGAUCUUACUUUUCUGUA
Brassica napus (rape) is the source of this 1071-nucleotide long non-coding RNA. RefSeq lists it as uncharacterized. The transcript is spliced from 4 exons. The record is from RefSeq and is a predicted model, not a curated record. NCBI's taxonomy places the organism in Eukaryota, Viridiplantae, Streptophyta, Magnoliopsida, Brassicales, Brassicaceae.